This is an RNA transcript of Hipposideros armiger (great roundleaf bat), 3201 nucleotides long. It is a transcript of the gene named DEAF1 transcription factor, with no coding region annotated. The transcript has 12 exons. The record is from RefSeq and is a predicted model, not a curated record. Lineage: Eukaryota; Metazoa; Chordata; Mammalia; Chiroptera; Hipposideridae.
GCUCGGGCGGCCUUCCUCGGGCGGUGCGCUUCGAGCUCCAUCCCGGCCUUCGGGCGGCCCCGGCCGGCGCCUUCGGACGGGCUCGGUGGAGUCCGGAUGGAGGACUCGGACUCGGCCGCCAAGCAGCUGGGCCUGGCCGAAGCGGCAGCCGUGGCGGCCGCGGCCGCUGUAGCGGCGGCGGCCGCGGCCGCGGCGGGAGGCGAGGCGGAGGAACCGGUGCUCAGCAGGGACGAGGACUCGGAGGAGGACGGGGACGCGGAGGCGGAGCGCGAGACGCGGCGGGUGACGGCCGUGGCGGUGAUGGCCGCUGAGCCCAGGCACAUGGACAUGGGCACCGAGGCCCUUCCUGGCCCCGACGAGGCUGCCGCGGCCGCCGCCUUCGCAGAGGUGACCACUGUGACGGUGGCCAAUGUGGGUGCCUCGGCGGACAACGUCUUCACCACGUCGGUGGCGAACGCCGCCUCGCUGUCGGGACACGUUCUGUCUGGUAGAACCGCGCUGCAGAUCGGGGACAGCCUGAACACGGAAAAGGCCACGCUGAUCGUGGUGCACACGGACGGCAGCAUCGUGGAGACUGCCGGGCUGAAGGCGCCAGCUGCUCCCCUCACCCCAGGUCCUCAGUCUCCUCCAACUCCUCUAGCUCCCGGCCAGGAGAAGGGCGGCAGCAAAUACAACUGGGACGCGUCCGUGUACGACAGCGAGCUGCCCGUGCGCUGCCGUAACAUCAGCGGCACCCUGUACAAGAGCCGGCUGGGCUCCGGCGGCCGCGGGCGCUGCAUCAAGCAGGGGGAGAACUGGUACAGCCCCACGGAGUUUGAGGCCAUGGCGGGGAGAGCCAGCAGCAAAGACUGGAAAAGGAGCAUCCGCUACGCGGGGCGGCCGCUGCAGUGCCUCAUCCAGGACGGGAUCUUGAACCCUCAUGCGGCCUCUUGCACCUGUGCUGCCUGCUGUGAUGACAUGACGUUGAGCGGUCCUGUCCGGCUCUUUGUCCCCUACAAGCGGCGCAAGAAGGAGAAUGAACUCCCCACAGCUCCAGUGAAGAAGGAAGCCGCCAAGAACAUCACGCUGCUGCCAGCCACCGCGGCCACCACCUUUACUGUGACCCCCUCAGGACAGAUCACUACCUCUGGCGCACUGACCUUUGACCGGGCGUCCACGGUGGAGGCCACUGCCGUCAUCUCAGAAAGCCCCGCCCAGGGUGACGUCUUCGCAGGAGCCACAGUGCAAGAAGCCAGCGUGCAGCCUCCGUGCAGGGUAGGCCCCACAGAGCCCCACUUCCCUGGGUACCAGGACAGCUGCCAGGUUGCACCGUUCCCAGAAGCUGCACUGCCAACAGCUCAUCCCAAAAUCGUGUUGACAUCCUUGCCGGCCCUGGCAGUCCCGCCCUCCAACCCCAGCAAACCCAUUUCUCCCAUCAUGGUCAACGGGCUGGAGAUGUCGGAACAGCGGCACUGGCUGUACCUGGAGGAGAUGGUCAACUCCUUGCUGAACACGGCGCAGCAGCUGAAGACGCUGUUUGAGCAGGCUAAGCAGGCCAGCUCCUACCGGGAGGCCGCCGCAGCCCACGCCCGAGCCCAGGCGGACGCAGAGCGGAAGGAGAUUCGAUGUGACACUCUCAAUUUCAUCGAAAGCUGAGCACGUAACCUGGUGAGAUGCAUCCGUCCUCGUCUCAGAAUCACAGGCCGAGUGGCCCCGUGCAGCCCGGACACGUGGACAUGCUCCUGUGGGAACCCUGGUAAACAGCUGUGCGUGUAGACGGGUGUCAGCCACACAGCACUGCGUGUUUCACCUUUUAGCACGAAGGUCUGACCUUCGUGGCCUGGGAUGACCACAGCACCUGGACGCCAGGUUCUUGUGAAAUGAUGGGCUCUCAAGUGACAGUCAACUGCUUGGAGAGUCCCCUCUCCAGGGGUUUUACAGGGGCUGGAGGCUCAGAAGUGCCAAAGGCCCGGAUUUGAGCCAUGUAUGAGGGAGGAAGGAACCCAGAGUGCACCCCUGAAACAUGCUGACUGCGGUGACCUGGGGGUGCCGGUGCAAGCAUGUGUGUGGUCCAGGUGUGCAUAUGCGUGUGGCCCAGGUAUAUGCACGUGUGUGGCCCAGGUGUGCGUGCGCAUGUGGUCCAGGCGUGUCAGACGUGCUGAGUGGUUUUCUUCCAAGGGCCUUGCUGUGACAUGAAUGACAGCUUGCGUGGGAGUGAAUUCCCCAUCCCUGAGCCCAUCCCAUUGGAGGGCGUAAAACUUCUUAUGCCAUUAAAUGUUGCAGGUACUUUUGUUUGAUUAUAACGCUGGGAAGAGUUUGGGGUCAGAAAGGCAAGUCCUGGAAGCUUUCAGUGGGAGGUGUGAGAACCCGUCCCACACUGUCUUCCUGAGUGGGCAGGUGGGGGACAGAGUCAGGAGAGGAAAGGUUGCAGGGGUCAGAAAGGGGUCACGAGCCCAUGGCCAGUGCAGGGGCCAGCUGCCCACUUCACCUUGUGUCUGGGAUUUAAAACCCAGGUCAUGCAGCUGAGACUGUCAGGGAGGUCGUUACAGCUGUGACUGAGUGCUGCGUUCAUGUGUGCCGUUGGUGCGUCGAGAUUAAGCGGGGUGGAGAGCAGUGCCCGUGGCAAGGGCACCGCGUCCAGUGGGGAAGGCCGUAGGGUCUUGGGCUGCCUGCCCCCGAAACAUCUGCGGGAGGCUGCCUGCCCACCCGCCUUGCUCUCCCUGGAGACAGCUGUGCAGUGGCUUCGUUUGCUUUUCCUUGAAGUGGUUUGUCAUUCCAAGUAGAAGGGACAGAGCGCAUCGGGCCACAGACCCACCUGGCGCCGCCGUGUUGUCUGAAGUGCAUGCACACGGAUGCUGCAGGUGCUUUACGAGUGGAAAACAGUCGCAGUAAAUAGUGUUUUGCAAAGAAGGAAUUCAUACGGGAACCCUACGAGGUCCCUGGAGUUUGGAGGACGGCUAACGGUGUGGUGCCCAUCCCACCUCCCGGUCAGUGACCACAAAGCUUGUUGGAUAGAGGAGCUGACUCUGGAGGUGACAGGAGUGGGCACGUGGGCAGCACCGGGGACGGGACACACGUCAGAGCCCUAUGGUCCCUGCAUCUCCCCACACUGACCAGCUCUUAUGCCCUUGCAGCAAUCCUGCGUCAACUGUGGCCGGGAGGCCAUGAGCGAGUGCACCGGCUGCCACAAAGUCAACUACUGCUCGACCUUCUGCCAGCGCA